RNAcentral lists this ribosomal RNA (549 nucleotides) under uncultured bacterium. RNAcentral describes it as "bacterial SSU rRNA". It matches the Rfam family "Bacterial small subunit ribosomal RNA", at positions 355 to 895 of the family's 1533-position model. The record is from RNAcentral.
UAGGGAAUCUUCGGCAAUGGGGGCAACCCUGACCGAGCAACGCCGCGUGAGUGAAGAAGGUUUUCGGAUCGUAAAGCUCUGUUGUAAGUCAAGAACGAGUGUGAGAGUGGAAAGUUCACACUGUGACGGUAGCUUACCAGAAAGGGACGGCUAACUACGUGCCAGCAGCCGCGGUAAUACGUAGGUCCCGAGCGUUGUCCGGAUUUAUUGGGCGUAAAGCGAGCGCAGGCGGUUUGAUAAGUCUGAAGUUAAAGGCUGUGGCUCAACCAUAGUUCGCUUUGGAAACUGUCAAACUUGAGUGCAGAAGGGGAGAGUGGAAUUCCAUGUGUAGCGGUGAAAUGCGUAGAUAUAUGGAGGAACACCGGUGGCGAAAGCGGCUCUCUGGCUUGUAACUGACGCUGAGGCUCGAAAGCGUGGGGAGCAAACAGGAUUAGAUACCCUGGUAGUCCAUGCCGUAAACGAUGAGUGCUAGGUGUUGGAGGGUUUCCGCCCUCCAGUGCCGGAGCUAACGCAUUAAGCACUCCGCCUGGGGAGUACGACCGCAAGGUU